UUGGAUGUGAAUUGAUUUAUGUUUGGAUAUAUUUUACUAAAAGUGAUUCUUAUGAGUUGAUGUUAUUUAAUAA
This 73-nucleotide microRNA precursor is filed under the name Medicago truncatula (barrel medic). RNAcentral's name for it is "MIR5272 microRNA precursor family". It matches the Rfam family "MIR5272 microRNA precursor family". The record is from Rfam by way of RNAcentral. Lineage: Eukaryota; Viridiplantae; Streptophyta; Magnoliopsida; Fabales; Fabaceae.